This is a long non-coding RNA of Tympanuchus pallidicinctus (lesser prairie-chicken), 779 nucleotides long. RefSeq lists it as uncharacterized. Lineage: Eukaryota; Metazoa; Chordata; Aves; Galliformes; Phasianidae. The transcript has 4 exons. The record is from RefSeq and is a predicted model, not a curated record.
UCCUGUUUCACACGCUCGCUCAGGUCCUUUGGGGCUUGGUGUCGCUUGUCCCUCGUGCUCCCGUUGCUGUCACCGCGUGUUGUUCCUUUCCCCAUGCUCAGCUCUGCCCAGUGCUGAUGGGAUGCCAGUGCCACCUGCUGCUCUCAACAAAAGGUAGGUUCAAUUCCUUUUGGCUCCUGUAGUAUUUGCUACACUUGUGUUCUGUUUCUCCUCGCUUUUUUCCAUGUUGCCUGGCGGUGCCUCGCUGGAGUUCCCAUGAGCCCCGGGCCCACUUGUGAUCAAGUGAGGUGCCAAAAAAAGAGGUAUCUCCUAAACAGGCUUCUGCUGAGUGCUGUCCUCGUCUUGGGCUUUGUCCAAUGCCGACCUUUCUUUUCUAACCCACUUUGUUGAGGACGGCGUGUGAGGCUUUCUUCUUUCUUUGUAGGAUUGGCGACUCCACCACCAGUAGUAGCAGGCGUUUUGGGAUGUCCAAGGUUCCGCAGUGAGCGUGUCCUGUUCCUGGUAAAGGUGUGGGCGUUCCUGGACACGAAGGUAUCUAUCUUCAUGCCUUGCCCAUGUGCCCAGUCCCCCACCAGAUGCUGUUUGCCUUUUGGCCCCCCUGAUUUGCUGCACUGCUGCACCCUGAUCCUUGCAGAGGGCCUCUCAUUGGUCACCGGCAGCGCCGUCCCGCCCUCGUCAGCCUGUGAUUGGUCACCGGCAGCGCCGUCCCGCCCUCAUGUGCCUCUCAUUUGUCAUCGGCAGUGCUGUCCCGCCCUCAUGUUCCUCUCAUUGGUCACUGG